Hypanus sabinus (Atlantic stingray) is the source of this 2528-nucleotide long non-coding RNA. RefSeq lists it as uncharacterized. Lineage: Eukaryota; Metazoa; Chordata; Chondrichthyes; Myliobatiformes; Dasyatidae. The transcript is spliced from 4 exons. The record is from RefSeq and is a predicted model, not a curated record.
CGCAGUCAGGGGGCCGCUCUUCAGAAAGUGGUGUAAUAGCAAACUACUCUGAAAAAAUCGUGAUGGUGUUCAGCUCUUGCAUUGAAACGGGUUAAAGAGAUGUUACCAAAAUGGGACAAAAGGUAAAAGCCGCAUUCCCCACAGCAACUGAACUAGAAACAACAUUAACUGCAUUCUUCAGAUAGGCUAAAUGUGACCGCGAGGAACCGAUAGGGAAGGUGGAAUACUGAUUCUGUGUCUGUGGGCUGUAACAGAAAUCGGGGUUGUACUGAUAAUUUUGUCUUCACCUGGAGCUGGUGUACUUGGUCACCGCCUUUGUCCCUUCAGACACGGCGUGCUUGGCCGGCUCCCCGGAGCUGAUGGUCUGACGGGAACGGAUUAAAACCAUACUCCAGAAUUCACUUUUCAUACAAGUAUUCUGGAAUGGCAAUCCUGGUCAUGCAGACAGAAUCUGCAACGUGUACUUCUGAACAAGUUAUCAUCAAAAGGAUUGCAUGGACAGAUUUCAUGAUUGAGAUAUGGAAAUCACUGGCAUAUAUUGCUCAUUCUUAAGGCCAUGCAUAGUGUGGGUUAGUGGUGUUUGCUGCAUUGAGUUUACUAUUUCUACACUGAAUUCAAAUUCUCCUGUUGUCACGCAGGUAAUCUAAACUCACAUUCUCCGUAUUAUCAGCUCCAUGCAACUAAUAUUACUUAAAACAUAUUGUGUCUAACUUUCAGUUUUUAGGUUUGGUAUUGCUUUGUAAAACCAAAUUAGAAUUUGUAGUAUUUAUUGCACUAACCAUAAACUGAUAAAACACAAACUCUAAUCACAAAAGGACUACACCCUCGUGUUUAAGGAAUCAUGUUUUUUCUAUUUCUUCAUAGAAUAUAAAGGAAGGGGUUGGAUCUGACUAUUUAAUUCUUAGAUUAGAACGUUUAAUUGAUAUUUUCUUUGGAAUUUAACAAUUAAUGAUCUGCUUGUAUUUUAAGUCAUUACUUAUAUGCAUGUAACUGUUUAUAAUGUUUCCUAGUGGUUACAAUUUGUUUGUGGAAGUUCAUUGUGUUUCCCUAGUGGUUAUGCAAAGUAUUAUUCUGAAUAGAUCUGGAAGCAACUUUGUUCUGCAUUGGUUGAAUAAUGGCUUUCUCAUUGUUUAACUCUUAUCUACAAAUUUGAAUUAAAUUUUUCCUAUCUAUGGGUUUAAAAUAGCUGCACUGCAAGACAGUACCAUCUUAGCAUUCCCUUCAUCUAGUAGACCUCUGUCACUGUUUCCAUUUUCCUUUGUUCUAUCAAUGUUAAAUAAAAUGUUCAUGAAGCUACAAGUUUUGCCCCCCCUUCCCUGAUUUCUGAAAGAACCCUGGAUUGUAACAUCAGAAUCCAAUAGAGGUUUGCUAUCUGACAACCAAUCUACUUCUCAGUAUGGUACUUCUAUGUCCUUCCUUUUGUUAUUAGCUUUUCACUUGACCUCCUCCAAAUAUCUUGCAUUGGUUUAUUAACCUCUUUCCUAUAUCCACUCUAUUCCCAUUCAUCAUGCAGGUCUGCACCACUCUGCCUAUUUUCCUAAUCUUAGAAUGAGGCCCAUAUUAGCACUUUGCACGGUAAUUGAAGGGCCUCCAUUAUCCACCAUUUAUUAAAAUUUCAGCUAAAACACAGUACAAAAUAAUUUAAUAUCUCCCAAACUUUUGAAUGUUAAAUCAAUAUUUUUAUAUUAUGCAUUCACAGUAAUAUUUUUACAUGAAUAAAAUUAACUCAUUUGCUUUGAAUAACCACUCACUCCCUCAGCACCACACCAUCUCAUAGCAAAUAAAAUAAUUUUGAAGAAUUUACUCUUGUCGCACAGCCAAAUGCAGUAAACAAUGUUAACCAACAAGGUACCAGCAAAAGGAAACAACAUAAAUAAUGUUAUUAUCCUUUGGUAAUUUUAGCUAAGGUUUGACUUGAUCUGCAGCACAAAAAAAGUCUUCUUAAAACUGUGGGCUCCUUCAGAUUUUACUAUAAAUUUAUAUGGAAAGAAUAUAUCGGGGGUUUUUAAACAGCUAGCAUAUCAUGGCUCAGUUAGCACAGGGUGCAUCCCACUUCAGCACAAAUAUCCAGACUAUUAUUCUCAACAAGUUCAUAUUUGUGUUUCAGUUUGCUGCACAUGAAACAUAAUUGCAUGAUGUGAGCCUUGCAGUGGAACAUAUCAAAGUCAGAGUUAAGUUGUAGCUCAGCAGUUUUCAGCACUAGGGAUGAGGAAUGAGGUCAACUACGACUGAUUUUACAUUUCAGAUUUAAGAGUUUGAUGUUUGGUGUUCUCUUACCUUUGAAUUAGAAUUUUAUGGCUUCAAAUCUCUGUGCUGAAUCUUGAAGUAUUCUAAACUAAUUUUUUAAUGCUGUACUGUAGGAGUAUUAAAAUGCCAGUGGUGUCAAUUUUGAAAGACGUGAUAAGUUGGGUCAUAAACUACCCCAUAGCCUGAUUCAAAAAAAACCCAGCAGGUUUGUACUCUCAAAAUGCUAGAAGAACUCAGCAGUCAGGCAGCAUCAAUGGAAAGGAAUAAACAGUGUAUGUUUU